CGCCAGCCUGACGGAGCCAGACCGCGUGGGGGAGGAAGGCCCUUGGGUUGUAAACCCCUUUUCUCAGGGAAGAAACCUGACGGUACCUGAGGAAAAAGCCUCGGCUAACUCCGUGCCAGCAGCCGCGGUAAUACGGAGGAGGCAAGCGUUAUCCGGAAUUACUGGGCGUAAAGCGUUCGUAGGGGGCUCGUCAAGUCUGCUGUCAAAGACCGGAGCUCAACUCCGGGCAGGCAGUGGAAACUGGUGCGCUAGAGGUCGACAGGGGUAGAGGGAAUUCCCAGUGUAGCGGUGAAAUGCGUAGAGAUUGGGAAGAACACCAGAGGCGAAAGCGUUCUGCUGGGCCGCACCUGACCCUGAGGGACGAAAGCCAGGGGAGCG
Molecule: ribosomal RNA, 378 nt
Filed under: uncultured cyanobacterium
Lineage: Bacteria; Bacillati; Cyanobacteriota
Description: bacterial SSU rRNA
Rfam family: Bacterial small subunit ribosomal RNA
Source: RNAcentral